UGGAAUAAAAGUUCCUGACCUUGGCUGGGCAUGGUGGUUCACGCCGGUAAUCCCAGCACUUUGGGAGGCCAAGGCGGGAGGAUCACCUGAGGUCAGGAGUUUGAGACCAGCCUGGCAAACGUGGUGAAACCCUGCCUCUACUAAAAAUACAAAAAUUAGCCAGGCGUGGUGGUGGACACCUGUAGUCACAGCUACUCAGGAGGCUGAGGCAUGAGAAUCACUUGAACUCAAGAGGUAGAGGUUGCAGUGAGCCGAGAUCGCGCCACUGCACUCCAGCCUGGGCGACAGAGCGAGACGCCAUCUCAAAGAAAAAACAAAAAGUUCCUGACCUUUCCACACAGGUCCUUGUGGCCAGCGGACUCCAGAGUGGUUCUAGCUUUCUAUUAAUAUCACAGUUUUCCUUAUUUAAGUUAUGCAAAGGGUCAUGUGCCUGGGACUGCGCGAUUCUACCGCCGUGAUUCCUACAGUGACUUUUCCUUUCAGACAAGCAAGCAGUUGGCAGCAGCCUUCCAAGAGGAGUUCACAGUGCGAGAGGACCUGAUGGGACUGGCAAUUGGGACUCACGGUGCCAACAUCCAGCAGGCCCGAAAAGUACCUGGGGUGACCGCCAUUGAGUUGGGUGAAGAGACCUGCACUUUCCGCAUCUACGGGGAGACUCCCGAGGCUUGCCGACAGGCCCGAAGCUACCUUGAGUUUUCUGAGGACUCAGUGCAAGUGCCCAGGAACCUGGUUGGUGAGUU
RNAcentral lists this small RNA (740 nucleotides) under Pongo abelii (Sumatran orangutan). Its description in RNAcentral is "retained intron". The record is from RNAcentral. Lineage: Eukaryota; Metazoa; Chordata; Mammalia; Primates; Hominidae.